Molecule: ribosomal RNA, 428 nt
Filed under: uncultured bacterium
Lineage: Bacteria
Description: bacterial SSU rRNA
Rfam family: Bacterial small subunit ribosomal RNA
Source: RNAcentral
UGAGGAAUUUUGCGCAAUGGGGGAAACCCUGACGCAGCAACGCCGCGUGAGUGAUGAAGGCCUUCGGGUCGUAAAGCUCUGUCAAGUGAGAAGAAUCUGCCCUGUGCUAAUAUCACCGGGCACUGACGGUACCACUGAAGGAAGCACCGGCUAACUCCGUGCCAGCAGCCGCGGUAACACGGGGGGUGCAAGCGUUAUUCGGAAUCACUGGGCGUAAAGAGCGCGUAGGCGGUCUCUUAAGUCAGAUGUGAAAGCCCGGGGCUCAACCCCGGAAGUGCAUUUGAAACGAAGGGACUUGAGUAUGGGAGAGGGAAGUGGAAUUCCUGGUGUAGCGGUGAAAUGCGUAGAUAUCAGGAGGAACACCGGUGGCGAUGGCGACUUCCUGGACCAAUACUGACGCUGAGGCGCGAAGGCGUGGGGAGCAAACA